CUCUUGCAAUUCGGCCCGCAUCAAAUGCGGGAAAGAUGUUCUGGUCGGCUGCCUCGCUAAAAGCCCCACUCCGUGCUACGCUGACGGUGGUACUGGACCUGGAUAAGCGAAUAUCUAUCAUAGUGUCGGCGUGCAUCGCCAUCUUCUACACAUUCUUCGGAGGUCUCUACUCCGUCGCCUACACCGACGUCGUUCAGCUCAUCUGCAUAUUUGUCGGUCUGUGGAUCACGGAGUCGUACGUGCU
Priapulus caudatus is the source of this 244-nucleotide long non-coding RNA. RefSeq lists it as uncharacterized. The record is from RefSeq and is a predicted model, not a curated record. The transcript has 4 exons. NCBI's taxonomy places the organism in Eukaryota, Metazoa, Priapulida, Priapulimorpha, Priapulimorphida, Priapulidae.